CUUAUACUCUCUCCAUCCAACAAAAGAUAUUUCAAAUUUGUUAAAAUUUGAAUGUAUCAAGACAUGAUCGAUUUAGUGUAUAGAUGCAUUCAAAUUUAGUCAAAGUUAAGACAUCUUUUGUUGAAUGGAGAAAAUAAAUG
Brachypodium distachyon (stiff brome) is the source of this 140-nucleotide non-coding RNA. The record is from Rfam. Lineage: Eukaryota; Viridiplantae; Streptophyta; Magnoliopsida; Poales; Poaceae.